Molecule: long non-coding RNA, 952 nt
Organism: Panicum virgatum (switchgrass)
Lineage: Eukaryota; Viridiplantae; Streptophyta; Magnoliopsida; Poales; Poaceae
Exons: 2
Source: RefSeq, a predicted model, not a curated record
UCUCCCACGGGUCGUUGGGGAGGCCCUACUCGACCGCUUCUCUAUUUUUUCUUCUACUGCGCCGCUCGCAUCCCUUCUCCUACGCCGCUCGAGCUCUUUGCGGCACCACCGCCGCCGUGGCAUCCAAGCGUCCAAGCGCGAUGCCUCCCCGCCGAUCUGGCCUCUCCACGCCUGGAUCCGCGAGAGGGAUCCACCGCCAAUCCAUCCAUGACCAGGAACCGAGCAAACAUCAUCCUUUGCCCAGCCGCCAUGCCCGUCCUCCCUGCCACGACCACCGAGCAGAUCAGGAAGCGGUGCCACUCCCAUCCUCCCUGCCGACAUUCUCUCCGACCCGCCCUCCCAAGUUAACGCUCGUUCUCCCUCCCCAACGGCCGCUCAUCUACAACCCGCAACGCCAACACCUCAUUCUUGCAUCCUGCAACCCGCAAGCUCCACUGGAUAGGAUGAGCACCACGCCAUCAGUUCGUCUCCUCAGCAGCAAAUGAAUCAAAGGUCCAAUUCCCGUCAAGCAAGCAAGACAAAAGCAAUGAAAGAAAGGGGGAGGUGUGGACAGAUGCAAGGAAGGUGAUGCGCAAGACAGUGACUACGUUGAGAAGAUGGCAAUGCCUACACAAGGAAGGAAGCGAACUGCAAUUGGAGGAGGUCAUCGUGCAGAUGGAGGCAAGAAUCAAAGAACCGCUGAAGAUCAUGUGGGUUUCGCAGGGAUCAAGUGCUGCUCCAUCAACAAUGAGCUGGGUGCCGUCGCUGGACACUCUAGCUUCAUCAAGUUCUGGCGUGCUUCCCGUGCCUAAUUGCUGUUUGACAGACUUUCAGUCUCCUAGUGCUACUUAGCCUUUUCGUAGCUCUUGCACUUGUCUGGCGGGCGCGCCUCGAAUACGCCUGAACCGUUAUGCUGUACAUACGUUUUUUUCCUCUGGAAUGAAAACGGGGGAAACCCUUUUCUCUAAAAAAA